This 317-nucleotide long non-coding RNA is filed under the name Elaeis guineensis (African oil palm). RNAcentral describes it as "long non-coding RNA (EGUI_LNC006701)". Lineage: Eukaryota; Viridiplantae; Streptophyta; Magnoliopsida; Arecales; Arecaceae. The record is from RNAcentral.
CUGGUAGUGGGGCUGCAGGAUUCCCCUGGGUAGAAGCCUUGCCCUAGCAGUAGAGUGGGAGCCUCUCGAUGCCUCUCUCUUGCGUCUGUUCCAUUAUAUAUAAUCGUGUGCCAAAUUGCCAAUCCUGCCAUACCUCGGAAGGAAAACGAUGUUGGAAAUUUAGAUGGCCUCUGGGUCUUUUCUAGUCAGUUCAACGGCCAAAAGUUCGACUCCGUGUAAAUGUACGAUCAUAGUUGAUUAUAGAGGUUAUUCUGGGAAUUUUAUAGGUAAAAAAUUGCAACCAGUUACAAUAAUAAUAAUAAUAAUAAUAUUAUUAU